This 1324-nucleotide long non-coding RNA is filed under the name Pan troglodytes (chimpanzee). RNAcentral describes it as "long non-coding RNA NONPTRT008246". The record is from RNAcentral. Lineage: Eukaryota; Metazoa; Chordata; Mammalia; Primates; Hominidae.
GGCUGCGCUGGUUCUGCUCUGUCCGGGUCGGAGAUGAACUGACCCGGGAGAGCAGCGGAGGGAUGUUUCUUUCGGCCAACAGUGGGGACUCACCUGCACGUUUUGCGAAGAGACCCACAGUCCUUUGCGUGGCGCUCGGACUACAUUUCCCAACGGCCCCUGCACGCCCUGGGGGCUGUUCCAUGCGGUGUUGCGCCUGCGUAGCCGGCGGGCUGGCAGUGAGACUGACUGCGUCGGGGUUGAGACUGGGUGGAUGAGGCUCACCCCGGCGGGGAGAAGGGACGAGGAGGGGCGGACAGCGGAAGGUCCGGGAGUGUCCGCCAUUGCGUAAUUGUGAGUCUGUGAGAGAAGAUGUGAAGUAUGGCCUCGUCCCGGUCAUCUGGGCGUGCGGGUCCCGGGUUUUGAUCGCGCGUUUGUUUUUAACUUCUAGUCAUGGUGAAUGAUCCCAGGAGAGCACAGACUGGACCCUGCUACGAUCUCUCUUGGAGUGGAUCAGACUGAUGAUCACCAACAACCAACUCAUUCCCAGAUAAGGAAGAAGAGAGUGUCACCUACUUCAGUGUGGUUUCAACCCUACUUCUGCAUCUUAAAGACACUGUAUUGUUUCAGCAGUAGUGCCCCUGUUCAUUAGUCCCCCUGAUGUUUUCAUUCCUCAUCUCAUCUUUUUCUUAGCAGCAUUCAAUGAAUCCUUCAUUCUAGAAACACUCUAUAUCUUUGGUUUUCAUGAGACCAUUCUCACCUUGUUUUGUCCUAUGACUUUUUUGAAAAAAACAAAAACAAAAAACCCUUUUUUUCUUUUUAAAUUCUGGUAAAAAACACAGUGAAAAUUUGCUAUCUUAACCAUGUUGAAAUGUGCAGUUAGUAAAGUACAUUCACAUUGUGGUGCAAGCCAUCACUACCAUCCAUCACUAGAACCCUUUUCAUCUUGCAGAUCUGAAACUCUACCCAUUAAACAACUUCCCAUCUUCCCAUCCCCACAGCUCCUAGCAACCAACAUUCUACUUUCUCUAUCAGUUUGACUACUCUAGGUACCUCAUAUGAGUAGAAUCAUACAGCAUUUAUCCUUCUUUGCCUGGCUUAUUUCACUUGUAUAAUGUCCUCAAGGUUCAUCCAUGUUGUAGCAUGCAUCAGAACUUCCUCCCCUUUUAAAGGCUGGAUAAUAUUUCAUGGUAUGUUUAGACCACAUUCUGUUUAUCCAUUCAUCCAUCAGUGAACACUUGUGCUCCUUCCAACUUUGGGCUGUUGGGUGUCCUGCUACUGUUGCUCCCAGUGCUCAAUCUUGUUUACUCCCUCCUAAUCGAGUGUACAGCGUUGGACACUGUGC